Molecule: transfer RNA, 70 nt
Filed under: Gymnodraco acuticeps
Lineage: Eukaryota; Metazoa; Chordata; Actinopteri; Perciformes; Bathydraconidae
Description: tRNA-Tyr
Rfam family: tRNA
About the family: Transfer RNA (tRNA) molecules are approximately 80 nucleotides in length.
Source: RNAcentral
GAUAAGAUGGCUGAGUUUUAAGCGGUGGAUUGUAACCCCAUGAACAGAGGUUUGAGUCCUCUUUUUAUCA